RNAcentral lists this ribosomal RNA (468 nucleotides) under uncultured bacterium. RNAcentral describes it as "partial 16S ribosomal RNA". It matches the Rfam family "Bacterial small subunit ribosomal RNA", at positions 28 to 507 of the family's 1533-position model. The record is from RNAcentral.
GACGAACGCUGGCGGCGUGCUUAACACAUGCAAGUCGAACGGAAAGGCCCUGCUUUUGUGGGGUGCUCGAGUGGCGAACGGGUGAGUAACACGUGAGUAACCUGCCCUUGACUUUGGGAUAACUUCAGGAAACUGGGGCUAAUACCGGAUAGGAGCUCCUGCUGCAUGGUGGGGGUUGGAAAGUUUCGGCGGUUGGGGAUGGACUCGCGGCUGAUCAGCUUGUUGGUGGGGUAGUGGCUUACCAAGGCUUUGACGGGUAGCCGGCCUGAGAGGGUGACCGGCCACAUUGGGACUGAGAUACGGCCCAGACUCCUACGGGAGGCAGCAGUGGGGAUUAGUGCACGAUGGGCGGAAGCCUGAUGCAGCAACGCCGCGUGCGGGAUGACGGCCUUCGGGUUGUAAACCGCUUUCGCCUGUGACGAAGCGUGAGUGACGGUAAUGGGUAAAGAAGCACCGGCUAACUACGUG